Caenorhabditis elegans is the source of this 225-nucleotide non-coding RNA. The record is from Ensembl. Lineage: Eukaryota; Metazoa; Nematoda; Chromadorea; Rhabditida; Rhabditidae.
CAUUUGCUUUACAUAAUUUUUUUUCAGAUUUUAGAAAAUUAAUUUUGAAAUCCUGGACCUUCGCUUUUAUUUUUAAACUUUGAGAGAAAUUUGAAUAUUACGAUGAUUGAUUUGAAAAGAUUGAGUUUUUCGUAUAGUUAUAAAAAUUUGAGUCUCCGGUGAAUUUCCAAAAAAUUCUAAAACUCUGAUUAAAUAUUCCACCUUUCUAAAAAUAAAUGCCAUAUU